UUCAAAAAGUAAUCUAAAUAUUUUAUUCGGAAUAUUACCCAUGUCUGCUAAAAAAACUACAUCUUACUAAAAUCUCUAACAUCUUUACUCGGAAUAUAAAAUAGCAAACUAUUAAUGUGGUGAAUUAUGAACUUGGGUUUACGUGGAAAGCAAAACGUUUUGAAAACCGUAAACGUAAUGCACGCAAUAGAAAUGGUAUUAUUAUAAUUGUCGCCCAGAGUGAACGACU
Non-coding RNA from Cinara cedri, 229 nucleotides. The record is from the annotation of a GenBank genome assembly. Lineage: Eukaryota; Metazoa; Arthropoda; Insecta; Hemiptera; Aphididae.